UACCAAUAGUCUUUGAGCAUUCUAGAAGGUCUUAUCUUUAAAUCCAAUGGUGGGAAAUAGAAAAGACUCAGAAUGUCCCUAAAGGACCAGGUAAGGGGCACCUAUCUUAUGGAGAUGCUUUAAUGUAUCUGAUAUCAUAACCUCUAAGAGGCCAUUUAUUAUUAGACAGUCCAUUAUUUUGUGAACUUUUAAUAAACAAAAUGAAAAAAAGUGCUCUUCAUUGAGUUAUAACAUAUAAUAAAUGUACAAAUCUUUUCUUUUUCUUUUUUUGAGGUGCUGGGGAUCCAACCUAGGAUCUCAUGUGUGCUAGACAAGCACUCUACCACUAAGCAAUACACCCUGCCCCCAAAUGCACAAGCCUUAAAUGUGCAUUUUGCAGUUUAAUGAAAUGUAUAUACCUGUGUAACCACCAUCUCUCUCUCUCUCUCUCUCUCUCUCUCUCUCUCUCUCACACACACACACACACACACACACACACACACGACAAAGUGAGAAAACGCCCUUUGGAGUGAGAAGUAUACUGCAGGAGGGAAAAGACCCCUUUGUUUUUACAGAACAUCCAUACCCUCUGGUUUCUCCUCCCUGGAGUCAAGGCCCCAGCCUCAGCAGGUAAGCUCAGUAACCCCCAGGUCUCCCAAAUUCCCCACUUGAACAUAUUUCUGAAAAGUCCCUUAAACAAAUGUUUUCCUGAAAACAUCAGGCUGGUGGUUCCUGACAGUAAAAUUAUCCAUACAGUGUUAAUGCUCAUUCACAGAGGGUUCUUCUAUAGACUACUAUAGGCAAGAAGGAAAGACAAAUGUGAGGACCAGCCAUUGCACCUUAUGUUGCUAGAAAAGGUAAAAGCAAAACCCAAGUGGAAUAGAAAAGACAUGUUUAUGUUGGCAUUAACAGAAUAUGAAUACUGGAUUUUGAUGACAUUAAAAAAUAACUUGAACUUUUUUUUUUGCAAUAUGGUAUUGUGCUUCUGCCCUUUUUUAAAGCACCAUUUUUGGGAAGCAUAACAAAGCAUUUGCUGAUAAAAUGAUAUGAAGUUGGGGAUUUAUCUCAAGAUAAUCUGAGUUGGGAGAUGAUGUAAAUGAAACAAAAUUGUUUGUAAAUUGGUGAUUAUCAAAAUAGGAUUACAAUACCUGGGUUUCAUUAUCCUAUUCACGUUACUUUUAUGUAGAUUCAAAAUUUUCCAUAUCAAAAAUGAAAAACAAAAGGAAUCUUAAAAAGAGUAGGGUAGAACUAGGGAUGGUGCUCAGGGGCAGAAGGCUUGUCUAGCAUGCGUGAGGUCCUGGGUUCAAUCCCAGGACCAAAACCUCCCCCUACAAAAAAAAAAAAAAAAUGCAAUCAAGUGCUUUGAGAGAAGAAGGCCCAAGAAUGCUGAAGGGUCUGUGGGACAUGGAUAGUCACCUACCUCAGCAAAAGGCAGGUGGGAGUUGGCCAGGGAAGGCUUCCUGGGGGAGAAGACUUUUACUCUCUUGAAACUUAAGUGAAGUUGGGGAGUGCCAGGCAAGGGACACUACCUGUCCCUGGGACUCACAAUUGGCAUAUUCUUUCCUAUGCUGUCUUGUUUCACUGCCUAACACAUGUUCUGCCCCAAACUUGCCCAAAGGCCCCAGCCUGGUAAACAAUCAGUAUACUCUUCUCACUCAGCUGGAGCUGGGGAGACAGUUACUCCAUCAUGAAGUUCCCUAGAAUUGGAUCAGUCAGUGAGUCAGUCAUCAAACACCUAUAACCAUAAUCAUGUUGUACAACCUCUGUGACAGUAUUGGGCUCAGAUCAUAGCAACAGGCGCCCAGCAGCACUCAUAUUGCCCAUGAACCUAACUGGAGUCCAGAGGAAGAAAUAAACAUUUGUUUAUUCCCUUUCCCACUCCAAGCUCCUUUUGCUCCCCACAUGAACUGUAUCACCCAUCCCCAUCCCUACCACUGAAUUAGCCCAAAAUAUGGCCUAUGGGUUGGUUUCUUGUCUUAGCUCAGUAUGUAUACAUAUAUCUAUAAUUACUUCUAUGUUCACCUUUCCAAAUAACUGAUAUUUGGUUUGAUUUGUCAAAGUUUGUUACAUUAAAAGUUUCCUUCUGUGGGUUGGGGUUGUAGCUCAGUGGUAGAGUACUUUCCUCGCACGCAUGAGGCCCUAGGUUUGAUCCUCAGCACCACAUAAAAGUAAAUAAAUAAA
RNAcentral lists this long non-coding RNA (2160 nucleotides) under Marmota monax (woodchuck). The stretch from base 2072 to 2140 matches the Rfam family "tRNA". Lineage: Eukaryota; Metazoa; Chordata; Mammalia; Rodentia; Sciuridae. The record is from RNAcentral.